This 78-nucleotide transfer RNA is filed under the name Candidatus Nitrosarchaeum limnium BG20. Its description in RNAcentral is "Candidatus Nitrosoarchaeum limnia BG20 tRNA-Thr". It matches the Rfam family "tRNA". From Rfam's summary of the family: Transfer RNA (tRNA) molecules are approximately 80 nucleotides in length. Their secondary structure includes four short double-helical elements and three loops (D, anti-codon, and T loops). The record is from RNAcentral. Lineage: Archaea; Thermoproteati; Nitrososphaerota; Nitrososphaeria; Nitrosopumilales; Nitrosopumilaceae.
GCCAAUAUAGCUCAGCCUGGUUAGAGCAUCAGAUUUGUAAUCUGAGGGUCGUGGGUUCGGAUCCCAUUAUUGGCUCUU